RNAcentral lists this ribosomal RNA (468 nucleotides) under uncultured bacterium. RNAcentral's name for it is "partial 16S ribosomal RNA". It matches the Rfam family "Bacterial small subunit ribosomal RNA", at positions 28 to 507 of the family's 1533-position model. The record is from RNAcentral.
GACGAACGCUGGCGGCGUGCUUAACACAUGCAAGUCGAACGGAGAGGCCCUGCUUUUGUGGGGUGCUCGAGUGGCGAACGGGUGAGUAACACGUGAGUAACCUGCCCUUGACUUUGGGAUAACUUCAGGAAACUGGGGCUAAUACCGGAUAGGAGCUCCUGCUGCAUGGUGGGGGGUGGAAAGUUUCGGCGGUUGGGGAUGGGCUCGCGGCUUAUCAGCUUGUUGGUGGGGUAGUGGCUUACCAAGGCUUUGACGGGUAGCCGGCCUGAGAGGGUGACCGGCCACAUUGGGACUGAGACACGGCCCAGACUCCUACGGGAGGCAGCAGUGGGGAAUAUUGCACAAUGGGCGGAAGCCUGAUGCAGCAACGCCGCGUGCGGGAUGACGGCCUUCGGGUUGUAAACCGCUUUCGCCAGUGACGAAGCGAAAGUGACGGUAAUGGGUAAAGAAGCGCCGGCUAACUACGUG